UAACACGUAAGGGCGAGCGUUGUUCGGAAUUAUUGGCGUAAAGGCACGCAGCGGUUAUGCAAGUCUGAUGUGAAAUCUCCGGGCUUAACUCGGAAUCCGCGUUGGAAACUGCAUGACUAGAGUAUUAGAGGGGAGUCGGAAUUCCUAGUGUAGGGGUGAAAUCUGUUGAUAUUAGGAAGAACACCGGUGGCGAAGGCGGACUCCUGGCUGAAUACUGACGCUGAGGUGCGAAAGCAUAGGGAGCAAACAGGAUUAGAUACCCUGGUAGUCUAUGCUGUAAACGAUGUGCACUUGGUGUUGGGCCGAUUAGGUUCAGUGCCGUAGCUAACGCGAUAAGUGCACCGCCUGGGGAGUAUGCCCGCAAGGGUGAAACUCAAAGGAAUUGACGGGGGCCCGCACAAGCGGUGGAUUAUGUGGUUUAAUUCGAUGAUACGCGAGAAACCUUACCAGGGUUUGACAUGCACAGGAAUAAGCUAGAGAUAGUUUAGCCCGCAAGGGU
RNAcentral lists this ribosomal RNA (499 nucleotides) under uncultured Spirochaeta sp. RNAcentral describes it as "bacterial SSU rRNA". It matches the Rfam family "Bacterial small subunit ribosomal RNA", at positions 521 to 1026 of the family's 1533-position model. The record is from RNAcentral. Lineage: Bacteria; Pseudomonadati; Spirochaetota; Spirochaetia; Spirochaetales; Spirochaetaceae.